This 29-nucleotide non-coding RNA is filed under the name Rattus norvegicus (Norway rat). Lineage: Eukaryota; Metazoa; Chordata; Mammalia; Rodentia; Muridae. The record is from RNAcentral.
UAUGAAUUUGAUGCUGGCGUCUUGGUAGU